UCAGGCCUAACACAUGCAAGUCGAACGGUCUCUUCGGAGAUAGUGGCGGACGGGUGAGUAACGCGUGAGAAUCUAGCUUCAGGUCGGGGAUAACAGUUGGAAACGACUGCUAAUACCGGAUAUGCCGGAAGGUGAAAGGCUUGCUGCCUGAAGAUGAGCUCGCGUCUGAUUAGCUAGUUGGUGGUGUAAGGGACUACCAAGGCGACGAUCAGUAGCUGGUCUGAGAGGAUGAUCAGCCACACUGGGACUGAGACACGGCCCAGACUCCUACGGGAGGCAGCAGUGGGGAAUUUUCUUCAAAGGGCGAAAGCCUGACGGAGCAA
This 323-nucleotide ribosomal RNA is filed under the name uncultured bacterium. RNAcentral's name for it is "bacterial SSU rRNA". It matches the Rfam family "Bacterial small subunit ribosomal RNA", at positions 46 to 392 of the family's 1533-position model. The record is from RNAcentral.